Molecule: ribosomal RNA, 274 nt
Filed under: uncultured bacterium
Lineage: Bacteria
Description: partial 16S ribosomal RNA
Rfam family: Archaeal small subunit ribosomal RNA
Source: RNAcentral
AAACCAGCACCUCAAGUGGUCAGGAGGAUUAUUGGGCCUAAAGCAUCCGUAGCCUGUUCUAUAAGUUUCCGGUUAAAUCCACUAGCUCAACUAGUGGGCUGCCGAAAAUACUGUAGAACUAGGGAGUGGGAGAGGUAGACGGUACUCGGUAGGAAGGGGUAAAAUCCUUUGAUCUAUUGAUGACCACCUGUGGCGAAGGCGGUCUACCAGAACACGUUCGACGGUGAGGGAUGAAAGCUGGGGGAGCAAACCGGAUUAGAAACCCCAGUAGUCC